Molecule: ribosomal RNA, 1225 nt
Filed under: human gut metagenome
Description: bacterial LSU rRNA
Rfam family: Bacterial large subunit ribosomal RNA
Source: RNAcentral
AUAGAGGUGCGAAUCCUCUAGGCCGAAUAUCCAAGGUUUCCAGGGUAAAGCUGAUCUGCCCUGGGUGAGUCGGGACCUAAGGUGAGGGCGAGAGCCGUAGCCGAUGGACAACAGGUUGAUAUUCCUGUACUGCAGUAUAACAGAACUGUGGGGACACGUAAGGAGAGCGGGAGCCGGGAAUGGAAAGCCCGGUACAAGCGAGGUACCAGUAUGGUAGGAAAAACCGCCAUGCAAUGGGAAGACGUGAUGUGGAGUGAAAUAUAGUAACGAAGCCCGUGAGCCAUGCGUCAAGAAAAGCCGCUAUUGUUUAUAUUGUACCCGUACCGUAAACCGACACAGGUGGAUGAGGAGAGAAUCCUAAGGCCGGCGGAAGAAGUAUUGCCAAGGAACUCGGCAAAAUGGCCCCGUAACUUAGGGAGAAGGGGUGCCUGCGAGAGCAGGCCGCAGAGAAUAGGCUCAAGCAACUGUUUAGCAAAAACACAGGUCUAUGCGAAACCGAAAGGUGAGGUAUAUGGGCUGACGCCUGCCCGGUGCUGGAAGGUUAAGAGGAGAGGUUAGACGCAAGUCGAAGCUUUGAAUUUAAGCCCCAGUAAACGGCGGCCGUAACUAUAACGGUCCUAAGGUAGCGAAAUUCCUUGUCGGGUAAGUUCCGACCCGCACGAAAGGCGUAAUGAUUUGAGCGCUGUCUCGGCAAUACAUCCGGUGAAAUUGAAGUGCCAGUGAAGAUGCUGGCUACCCGCGCCAGGACGGAAAGACCCCAUGGAGCUUUACUCCAGUUUGGCACUGGGGUCCGGUGUUGCAUGUACAGGAUAGGUGGGAGGCUGAGAAACGGUAACGUCAGUUGCCGCGGAGCCGCUGUUGGGAUACCACCCUUGUGAUAUUGGGCUUCUAACCAGCCGCCGUAAUCCGGCGGUGGGACAAUGCCAGGCGGGGAGUUUGACUGGGGCGGUCGCCUCCGAAAGGGUAUCGGAGGCGCCCAAAGGUUCCCUCAGAAUGGACGGAAACCAUUCGAAGAGUGCAAAGGCAGAAGGGAGCUUGACUGCGACACCGACGGGUGGAGCAGGUACGAAAGUAGGGCUUAGUGAUCCGGUGGUAUUAAGUGGGAAUGCCAUCGCUCAACGGAUAAAAGCUACCCUGGGGAUAACAGGCUUAUCACUCCCAAGAGUUCACAUCGACGGAGUGGUUUGGCACCUCGAUGUCGGCUCAUCGCAUCCUGGGGCUGUAG